CAGGCUUCUUUUUUGUUUUCUUCUCUUCGGUCGGGCUGUUGUCUCUUUGAUACAUUCCUCAUUUCAAUAACCUAGGACUAUCACUGAAUUACAGGCUUCUUUUUUGUUUUCUUCUCUUUGGUCGGGCUGUUGUCUCUUUGAUACAUUCCUCAUUUCAAUAACCUACGACUAUCACUGAAUUACAGGCUUCUUUUUUGUUUUCUUCUCUUUGGUCGGGCUGUUGUCUCUUUGAUACAUUCCUCAUUUCCAUUCUCAAUUUUAUUCUUCCUGUUUUGGGACAGCCACAUAAUGAAUGUGGAGGACUUUAACAUGUCUGUGAAUGCUUAAUCCUCUUAAGAAAAAUAUUAAACAAAUCAAUAUUCAAAGAUCUUCUACAAUUCUAAAUUAAUAACUUUUCAGAAUAAGUCUUUUCUAGAAAUCAAUAAUAUACAAAUAAGUGCUCUCAAUUUGAUUUGGCGAUCGAUUGCUGUUUUGUUCAUAUUUUUAAAAUCAUUCGAAUCAUUGUAGUCAAGUGCGCUGGAGGGAUAUUUUUUUUUAAUAAUUUAAUAAAAAAUACUUGCUAACAGCUUCAUUAAUCAAGACGAGUCGAAAUUAUUAGAGUGGUAUUCUGAUAUAAACAAUAUUUAUUCAGAUAAAAAGAAAU
This 643-nucleotide long non-coding RNA is filed under the name Mytilus galloprovincialis (Mediterranean mussel). The record is from RNAcentral. Lineage: Eukaryota; Metazoa; Mollusca; Bivalvia; Mytilida; Mytilidae.